RNAcentral lists this transfer RNA (73 nucleotides) under Cataetyx rubrirostris (rubynose brotula). RNAcentral describes it as "tRNA-Trp". It matches the Rfam family "tRNA". From Rfam's summary of the family: Transfer RNA (tRNA) molecules are approximately 80 nucleotides in length. Lineage: Eukaryota; Metazoa; Chordata; Actinopteri; Ophidiiformes; Bythitidae. The record is from RNAcentral.
AGGAACUUAGGAUAGUACUUGAGACCAAAGACCUUCAAAGCCUUAAGCGGGAGUGAAAAUCUCCCAGUUCCUG